AACGAACGCUGUCGGCAUGCCUAACACAUGCAAGUCGAACGAGAUCUUCGGGUCUAGUGGCGCACGGGUGCGUAACGCGUGGGAAUCUGCCCUUUGGUUCGGAAUAACGGAUUGAAACGACUGCUAAUCCCGGAUGAUGACGAAAGUCCAAAGAUUUAUCGCCAGAGGAUGAGCCCGCGUAGGAAUAGCUAGUUGGUGUGGUAAAGGCGCACCAAGGCGACGAUCCUUAGCUGGUCUGAGAGGAUGAUCAGCCACACUGGGACUGAGACACGGCCCAGACUCCUACGGGAGGCAGCAGUGGGGAAUAUUGGACAAUGGGCGAAAGCCUGAUCCAGCAAUGCCGCGUGAGUGAUGAAGGCCUUAGGGUUGUAAAGCUCUUUUACCCGGGAUGAUAAUGACAGUACCGGGAGAAUAAGCUCCGGCUAACUCCGUGCCAGCAGCCGCAGUAA
RNAcentral lists this ribosomal RNA (449 nucleotides) under uncultured bacterium. RNAcentral's name for it is "partial 16S ribosomal RNA". It matches the Rfam family "Bacterial small subunit ribosomal RNA", at positions 29 to 523 of the family's 1533-position model. The record is from RNAcentral.